GACGAACGCUGGCGGCGUGCUUAACACAUGCAAGUCGAACGGAAAGGCCCUGCUUUUGUGGGGUGCUCGAGUGGCGAACGGGUGAGUAACACGUGAGUAACCUGCCCUUGACUUUGGGAUAACUUCAGGAAACUGGGGCUCAUAUCGGGGAGGAGCUCCUGCUGCGUGGUGGGGGUUGGAAAGUUUCGGCGGUUGGGGCUGGACUCGCGGGUUAUCAGCUUGUUGGUGGGGUAGUGGUUUACAAAGGCUUUGACGGGUAGCCGGCCUUAGAGGGUGACCGGCCACAUUGCGACUGAGAGACGGACCAGACGCCUACGGGACGCAGCAGUGGGGAAUCUUGCACAGUGGGCGCACGCCUGAGACAGCAACCUCGGGUGCGGGAUGAUCGCUUAUGGGUUGUAAACCGCUGUCGCCUGAGACGAGGCGUGAGUGACGGUAACUGGUAAGGAAGCACCGGCUAACUACGUG
RNAcentral lists this ribosomal RNA (468 nucleotides) under uncultured bacterium. Its description in RNAcentral is "partial 16S ribosomal RNA". It matches the Rfam family "Bacterial small subunit ribosomal RNA", at positions 28 to 507 of the family's 1533-position model. The record is from RNAcentral.